GCCAUAUUACCUAAAUAACUCCACUUAUUCUUGACCAAAUCAGGAAAAUUGGCAUGUUUUGUUCAUCCUACAAGACACCGAAAGAAACGCCUUUUAGGAGCACUAAUAUCCAAAUUGGUUUUGAGGAGAAUGGGCAUGUGAUCUGGAUUGAUGCGCAAAAACUAGUUUGAUGCGCAAAAGGUGAUAUACAAGACAGUGCGAAAAAUAUGAUAUCCAAGUGUCAUUGGCAAGCGCUCGAUCCAACCUUUCAUACGUAUUGCCUCUUUACCAGGUAAAGGAAGGUCCAAUGAAUCCUAUAUCUUGUAAGUUACAAUAGUCAACAAAAUUACCAAAAAAAUUUGCAUCUCUUACCUAUGCUACGAUCACUUUUCUUAUCAUCAGGUGAUAGUAUAGCAUUAAAGCCCCCCAUAAUCAGCCACGAAAAGGGAUCGUUAAGUAACACGAUUAUUAAAUCAUCCCAUAGAGAAUUUCUCUUUGCUCUGUCAGGACUACCAUAAACAAAAAAGAUAAGAAAGAAGUUAUUGGUAACACUGCCAAAAACUCGAAGGAGAAUGAACUGGGGAUGAUUAUGAAUGACACUAAUCUGAAUAGAUUCCUUUCAGCCCACCCAAAUUUCUCUUGAAAAUCCAAUAACCUCAAUACGGUGAGAAAAAUCAAAACCUAAUUUAUCAAUAAUUGAAUUUACUUUAUUAUCACUAAUUUUUUGUUCCAGUAGACACAAUAUCCGGCCUAUACUCGAUAUUAAAUUCACGGAAGACAUAGAGAAAUUUGUUGCUUGCAUAGCCUUGAAAAUUCCAAGAAAAUAUUGUUAAAAUUAAAUCCAUAUUAUCAAAAUAAUAAUAAAAUUAAGAUAAAACAAUUAGAUAUUACUGCUUAGAGCUUAUAAAACAAACCUGAAGUCUUUUCGCUGCAUUUGAACCAUUUAGGCCCAAUUCUUCGAUACUUUCUGUCGAAGUAGCCUUAGCCAACUUGGACAUAGAAACACAUAACAAAUAUUUAGAAAAAAUUUUAACCUUAAAAUUGCUCUAUUUCCCAUGUGGUUUUGUUAAUUUUUUUUUAAUAUCUUGAAAACUCUUUUCUUUCCCUCCCAUCAUUCUCCUCGAAUUCAUUGAUCUACCAGCCUCCAAAUCUGAAACUUUGGUCUCCUCCGACAAGGUGUUGUCGACUGGGACAGUGACUUUGAAAGAAGUUGUCAAGUGCUUAAUAGGGUUUAGCCCUCCAGUGGAGAUGGCGACUAGAACUUCCACUGGACUUAGCAUCGAAGAAGUUGGUUUGGUUGGGAGCUUUGGGACACUAUCACUGUCGACAUUAAAAAAGCCCGAUCUCGAGUCUGAAAUCUCACCCUCACUUGUUGGACAUUGAGUUCACUAACAGAAACCCCUGUAACAAAUGAUUGCCGCCGACUGAUAGCCUCAUUAACGUAACUUCGAAUGAAUAAAGUUUUCCUAGCCCUUGGCUAGGAGGACGACCUAAUAGCCUGGCCUGAUAAAUUAACCAAC
Molecule: long non-coding RNA, 1499 nt
Filed under: Gossypium barbadense (sea-island cotton)
Lineage: Eukaryota; Viridiplantae; Streptophyta; Magnoliopsida; Malvales; Malvaceae
Description: long non-coding RNA (GBAR_LNC006228)
Source: RNAcentral